CUGGUCCCUCCGCCCGCCCGAACGGGCCCGCAUUAGGCGGGUGCCGCCGGUCGGGCACGGUGGGGACUAGUGGCAGCGGUUCGGUGCCAGCUGCUCGGGGUCGGAGGGGGUCAAAAACCCACCAUCAAUAUCAAGGCUGACCAUCUCUCCAGCAUGGAUGUGAAAUCUUCAGGCUGUGACCC
Non-coding RNA from Nothobranchius furzeri (turquoise killifish), 182 nucleotides. The record is from RefSeq and is a predicted model, not a curated record. Lineage: Eukaryota; Metazoa; Chordata; Actinopteri; Cyprinodontiformes; Nothobranchiidae.